CAGAGUCCUCUACUCCUCAGGCUCAUCUCCUCUAUCCUCACCCUGUUGAGGAAAUCGAAGUAGGACACCUCCACACUGUACAUGAGGGAUGGGAUGUGGCUCAUCUGCUUCGUUAUCUUCUCCACAACCUGAAACAGGAAUACCACCGGUAAGAGCUCAUAUAAUCUCGCUUUGGAUUAUUACGGCAGUGGGUUUAUCGGGGCUCCACUGACUUGUUCUGCGUUGGUGCCUUUCGCUUGGAAGUCAUGGACAGCAAACUCGAUGCAGUAGUAGACCUUAUGGAACUCGGGCACGAAGCCCAGGUGAGCCGGGAAGGCAAUGGAGGUGCCGAGGAGGGACAGCUGGUUUGGAACUAUGAACCCCUCGAGAUAGUCCACCAAGUCCGGCAU
This 389-nucleotide long non-coding RNA is filed under the name Musa acuminata (dwarf banana). RNAcentral describes it as "long non-coding RNA (MACU_LNC000049)". Lineage: Eukaryota; Viridiplantae; Streptophyta; Magnoliopsida; Zingiberales; Musaceae. The record is from RNAcentral.